This 635-nucleotide ribosomal RNA is filed under the name uncultured bacterium. RNAcentral describes it as "bacterial SSU rRNA". It matches the Rfam family "Bacterial small subunit ribosomal RNA", at positions 11 to 682 of the family's 1533-position model. The record is from RNAcentral.
GUUUGAUCCUGGCUCAGAGCGAACGCUGGCGGCAUGCUUAACACAUGCAAGUCGCACGGCCCGGGGGCAGCUCCGGGCAGUGGCGGACGGGUGAGUAACGCGUAGGAAUCUAUCCUUGGAUGGGGGACAACCGUGGGAAACUACGGCUAAUACCGCAUGAUGCCUGAGGGCCAAAGCUCGUGAGAGCGUCUGGGGAGGAGCCUGCGUCUGAUUAGGUAGUUGGUGGGGUAAAGGCCUACCAAGCCUGCGAUCAGUAGCUGGUCUGAGAGGAUGAUCAGCCACAUUGGGACUGAGACACGGCCCAAACUCCUACGGGAGGCAGCAGUGGGGAAUAUUGGACAAUGGGCGCAAGCCUGAUCCAGCAAUGCCGCGUGGGUGAAGAAGGUUUUCGGAUUGUAAAGCCCUUUUGGCGGGGACGAUGAUGACGGUACCCGCAGAAUAAGCUCCGGCUAACUUCGUGCCAGCAGCCGCGGUAAUACGAAGGGGGCUAGCGUUGCUCGGAAUGACUGGGCGUAAAGGGCGCGUAGGCGGCUUGUACAGUCAGGCGUGAAAUUCCUGGGCUCAACCUGGGGACUGCGUCUGAUACGUGCUGGCUUGAGUAUGGAAGAGGGUCGUGGAAUUUCCAGUGUAGAGGU